GUUGAUGUAGCUUAUUAA
Molecule: transfer RNA, 18 nt
Filed under: Chionomys nivalis (European snow vole)
Lineage: Eukaryota; Metazoa; Chordata; Mammalia; Rodentia; Cricetidae
Description: partial tRNA-Phe
Source: RNAcentral